AAGCCCGUACUGGCAGGGACCAUUUCUAUGAUUUAUUAUUAGAGAUGUUUCUCUGAACAUACAGGGCACCAGAAGCCACAGAAAUGAGGUGUAGAGUUCUCUCCUGAGUAUGAAGUCCAUCUUCAGUGAGGAUUUCAUUGCAAUUGUCAUUGCCAAUGGUGACAUUUUCUUUUCCUUAUUUUUUCAAGUGGAUAAAAUUCAGUCUGAGUGCU
Marmota flaviventris (yellow-bellied marmot) is the source of this 212-nucleotide small nucleolar RNA. RefSeq annotates it as small nucleolar RNA U3. The record is from RefSeq and is a predicted model, not a curated record. Lineage: Eukaryota; Metazoa; Chordata; Mammalia; Rodentia; Sciuridae.